RNAcentral lists this ribosomal RNA (471 nucleotides) under uncultured bacterium. RNAcentral describes it as "bacterial SSU rRNA". It matches the Rfam family "Bacterial small subunit ribosomal RNA", at positions 29 to 518 of the family's 1533-position model. The record is from RNAcentral.
ACGAACGCUGGCGGCGUGCUUCAUACAUGCAAGUCGAACGAGAAGUCUUAACUUCGGUAAGAGGAAAGUGGCGGACGGGUGAGUAAUAUGUAGAGAAUCUGCCCUUAAGCGGGGGACAACAGUUGGAAACGACUGCUAAUACCCCAUAUGAGCGUACCUGAAAUGGUAUUCUUGAAAACUCCGGUGCUUAAGGAUGAGUCUGCAUCUGAUUAGCUAGUUGGGGGUGUAAUGGACCACCAAGGCGACGAUCAGUAGCUGGUUUGAGAGGAUGAUCAGCCACAAUGGGACUGAGACACGGCCCAUACUCCUACGGGAGGCAGCAGUAGGGAAUUUUGCGCAAUGGGCGAAAGCCUGAACCGCAGCAACGCCGCGUGAACGAGAAGCCCUUCGGGGUGUAAAGUUCUGUCAGUAGGGACGAACAAUGACUGUACCUACAGAGGAAGCACCGGCUAACUCCGUGCCAGCCGCCGC